UUCCCACUGAUCUAGUCAAACCA
This 23-nucleotide non-coding RNA is filed under the name Rattus norvegicus (Norway rat). Lineage: Eukaryota; Metazoa; Chordata; Mammalia; Rodentia; Muridae. The record is from RNAcentral.